UCGAUGUCGGCUCAUCGCAUCCUGGGGCUGGACAAGGUCCCAAGGGUUGGUCUGUUCGCCCAUUAAAGCGGUACGUGAGCUGGGUUCAGAACGUCGUGAGACAGUUCGGACUCUAUCCAUCGUGGGCGUAGGAGACUUGAGGGAAGCUGCCCAUAGUACGAGAGGACCUGGGUGGACGUACCUCUGAUGUACGAGCUGUCCUGCCAAGGGCACCGCUCGGUAGUCAAGUACGGUCGGGAUAACCGCUGAAGGCAUCUAAGCGGGAAGCCCCUCCCAAGAUUAGGUCUCCCGUGUGAAUCGCCGCAAGGUGAUUUACCCUGAAGGCCCCUGGUAGACUACCAGGUUGAUAGGCCACAGGUGUAAGCGCAGCAAUGCGUUCAGCCGAGUGGUCCUAAUCGGCCGUGCGGCUUGA
RNAcentral lists this ribosomal RNA (412 nucleotides) under Caldifarciminota bacterium. Its description in RNAcentral is "candidate division WOR-3 bacterium (hot springs metagenome) partial 23S ribosomal RNA". It matches the Rfam family "Bacterial large subunit ribosomal RNA", at positions 2526 to 2925 of the family's 2925-position model. The record is from RNAcentral. Lineage: Bacteria; Pseudomonadati; Caldifarciminota.